This 805-nucleotide non-coding RNA is filed under the name Pan troglodytes (chimpanzee). The record is from RNAcentral. Lineage: Eukaryota; Metazoa; Chordata; Mammalia; Primates; Hominidae.
AAUGCAAGUGUUUAACAGAUGCUUCACUAUUAAAAUAUUUCCCCCCCAAGUCUCAAAUAUUGAAGAAUCUCUAACCAGGCUCGAAACGCCGGUCUCAGUGGCUAUUGAGUUACCCACCAAGUUACCCCGGUUAGAGCUGUUUGGGGUGGCUCACGUUAUUGCGGCAAACUUUGGAGAUGACGGCUGAGUCCUCCGGGCGAACAUGUCAAGCCGAUUGUAAAUGCUGUUAUUUCCACAUCCUUCAGGGACACCAGUCCCUACGAAGACCUUGGGCGAUUUUGAAGUGCGGGCACCUCGAUUCCCCGAAUCUGUAGUGUGGCUGGUAUCGGUGUUCCCCUGGUUUAACUAGCCUGUUUGAAGGCACAGAUCAUUCAUGGGGAAGUAUAACCGAAACCAGUCCUCUCCACCCCCUGGGGAUCUUCACUUUCCCAGUCUACAACUGCCUGUGACUCCAGAAAGACAAACUGCAGAUUGGCCAAGGUACAUCUCAGAUCAGAUCCCUCUGGGAAAAGCGCGGGAAUGCUUGGCUCUAGUAGUUAGGAGCUCUGGUGAGAGCGCCCCUAGUGCCAUUUUCCCAUCCCUGCCCUUGACGGUCCCCUUUGGUCUAAAUUCACGGUUCUAGACAGUCAAAGUCUACCUGCUGGGUGUCCACUCUCAAGCCAUAGGUUUUCAAUCCUAAAAGGGAUUAGGACCUUGGCUCAAAAUGUGGUCAACGCAGUGUUCAAAUUAGGAGGGCAGCUGGGAGAUGGCAGCAGGGGAUGAAAGUAUGACUCCUACUUCGUCCCCAACUGUGGGUCUGGCACCC